GAUGAAGAACGUAGCGAAAUGCGAUAAGUAAUGUGAAUUGCAGAAUUCAGUGAAUCAUCGAAUCUUUGAACUCACCUUGCGCCCUUUGGCCAUUCCGAAGGGCAUGCCUGUUUGAGUAUCAUGAACACCUCAACUCUUCAUGGUUUUCCGUGAUGAGCUUGGACUUUGGGGGUCUUGCUGGCCUAUGGUCAGCUCCUCUAAAAUAAAUCAGCUUGCCAGUGUUUGGUGGGUAUCACAGGUGUGAUAACUAUCUACGCUUGUGGUUUUCCACCAGGUAACCUUCAGCAGUGGAGGUUCGCUGGAGCUCACAGAUGUGUCUCUCCUCAGUGAGGACAGCUCUUUGAAUGUUUGAUCUCAAAUCAGGUAGGACUACCCGCUGAACUUAAGCAUAUCAAUAAGCGGAGGA
This 406-nucleotide unclassified non-coding RNA is filed under the name soil metagenome. RNAcentral describes it as "partial contains 5.8S ribosomal RNA, internal transcribed spacer 2, and large subunit ribosomal RNA". The stretch from base 1 to 121 matches the Rfam family "5.8S ribosomal RNA", at positions 35 to 154 of the family's 154-position model. The record is from RNAcentral.